ACCCGACUCCAUGAAGCUGGAUUCGCUAGUAAUCGCGCACCAGCCACGGCGCGGUGAAUACGUUCCCGGGCCUUGUACACACCGCCCGUCAAGCCAUGGAAGCCGGGAGUGCCUGAAGUGUGCAACCGCAAGGAGCGCCCUAAGGUAAAACCGGUGACUGGGGCUAAGUCGUAACAAGGUAGC
This 183-nucleotide ribosomal RNA is filed under the name uncultured bacterium. Its description in RNAcentral is "partial 16S ribosomal RNA". It matches the Rfam family "Bacterial small subunit ribosomal RNA", at positions 1310 to 1500 of the family's 1533-position model. The record is from RNAcentral.